RNAcentral lists this ribosomal RNA (492 nucleotides) under uncultured bacterium. RNAcentral describes it as "partial 16S ribosomal RNA". It matches the Rfam family "Bacterial small subunit ribosomal RNA", at positions 29 to 507 of the family's 1533-position model. The record is from RNAcentral.
AGUGAACGCUGGCGGUAGGCCUAACACAUGCAAGUCGAACGGCAGCACAGUAAGAGCUUGCUCUUACGGGUGGCGAGUGGCGGACGGGUGAGGAAUACAUCGGAAUCUACUUUUUCGUGGGGGAUAACGUAGGGAAACUUACGCUAAUACCGCAUACGACCUACGGUUGAAAGCAGGGGAUCUUCGGACCUUGCGCGAUUGAAUGAGCCGAUGUCGGAUUAGCUAGUUGGCGGGGUAAAGGCCCACCAAGGCGACGAUCCGUAGCUGGUCUGAGAGGAUGAUCAGCCACACUGGAACUGAGACACGGUACAGACGACUACGGGAGGCAGCAGUGGGGAAUAUUGGACAAAGGGCGCAAGCCUGAUCAAGCCAUACCGCGUGGGUGAAGAAGGCAUUCGGGUUGUAAAGACCUUUUGUUGGGAAAGAAAAGCAGCAGGUUAAUAACCCGCUGUUCUGACGGUACCAAAAGAAUAAGCACCGGCUAACUUCGUG